UACAGAGGGGGCAAGCGUUGUUCGGAAUUACUGGGCGUAAAGGGCGCGUAGGCGGCCUGCUAAGUCGAACGUGAAAUCCCCGGGCUCAACCCGGGAACUGCAUCCGAUACUGGCAGGCUUGAAUCCGGGAGAGGGAUGUGGAAUUCCAGGUGUAGCGGUGAAAUGCGUAGAUAUCUGGAGGAACACCGGUGGCGAAGGCGGCAUCCUGGACCGGUAUUGACGCUGAUGCGCGAAAGCGUGGGGAGCGAUCCGG
RNAcentral lists this ribosomal RNA (253 nucleotides) under uncultured bacterium. RNAcentral describes it as "partial 16S ribosomal RNA". It matches the Rfam family "Bacterial small subunit ribosomal RNA", at positions 524 to 776 of the family's 1533-position model. The record is from RNAcentral.